CAAAAGGUUUCACCUACUGCCCAUGCUCAUGAUCAUUCCCUAUGAGUGACAUUAUGUUAAAGGAAGACUGGCACCUUUGAAAAGUUCGCACAAAACCAUGCUUUUAGGGUUCCAAUCACCAUAAAUGAUUUUUUAGAGUUUAUUAGGCAUCUCACAAUCACGCAACUUGAAAAUUUUUCGUCAUGUUAUCGUUAUUAUAAUUCGGGUAAAAAAGCACCUCCAUGUUUAUGACAGCACUAGAGUUCAAGGUCGUAUGAUAUGGAAGCGGAAUUUGUCGCCAUAAAUGGCGCGCAAGUUUCAUUUAUAAAUGCAUUACAAAAAAUACCAUUGACAGGAUUAUGUAACCUGUAUUCCCUUGUGUAUUCCCUUGCUGCAAAUCAGCCAACAGCCUCCUCUUGUGAUAUAGCUUGGAAAAAUGCCUGCGACCAGAGGGACAACCAGAGGAAGAGGAAGAGGAAGAGGUGUGAGUCGGUCCAGAGGGGCCCAGAGAAGACUGGAGUUCCCACCAGCCGCACGAGCUGCCCCAAGAGGAGCCAGAAGUUCCCAGUCAAGGGCGGUAGCCAACCUUUACAACCGUCCCACUUUCCGCAGGCUGGUCACAUUUUCUUCAUUUCCAGCUUUUAUUUCAUACCAGACGUGACAAUGCACUACAUUUCCCUACAUUCUUGUUUGUCAAUGACAUUCUUUAUGGUGCUGGUCCAUUCUUUUGUUGAUAGUUAUUUAUAAAUUUGCAUAUUUCUUUCCAAAUUUGAGUUUUACAACCUACAGUUCUUAUCUUUUUUCCUUUAAAAAUGAGGCUGUUGGCCUUGAAAGAAAAGUUCAAGUUGUUACGUACUAAACGUUUGUUCGUGAUUGUGAUGCUUUCUUCAUGAUCAUGCUUGAUGUUCUAUUUUCCAUUUUGCUCUGACUAUUUCAUUUUUGUUCUUAACAGUACCUACUUAUUAACUACAAAAAUGUCAUUCAUUCUGAUUUUUUAAUUUUGUUUCCAGGGCCCAGUUUCACCAAGCUCUGUUUGGGGUAGUUUCGGCGAAACUACCCCAAACCAGUUUCACCAAAUGGGGUAGGUUCUGAUUGGCCACUUCCAAACUACCCCAUGGAGUAGUGCUUAUUUUACCCCAAAUUUGCCAUGCAAACAGAUGCUCACGGUCCGUGAGGAACUGAACAAGCCAAUCAAUCAGCUGAUUAUCGUCGGUUCUACCCCAAAUAUCCGACCAAAAUUACGGCAGACAUUCGUGGGGUAAUCUGUGAAUAUGAUACCAAUUGUGAGCAAGAAUUGACAGUA
Long non-coding RNA from Amphibalanus amphitrite, 1282 nucleotides. RefSeq lists it as uncharacterized. The record is from RefSeq and is a predicted model, not a curated record. The transcript is spliced from 3 exons. Lineage: Eukaryota; Metazoa; Arthropoda; Thecostraca; Balanomorpha; Balanidae.